AUGUUGACGCCGUUUUUUUUUGAAGAUGGAACGGGUGCAGCUGCGGCAAUUCUUCGAAACAACCGAGGAGAGGCACUUGCGGGAGCAUCCUGGUUGCUUCAUCAUCUCCUUGAUGCAACAACGGCGGAAGCAGUAGCUAUUCAGCGAGGACUAGAGUUGGUUGAAGGACUCGGCUGUCAUCAAGUCAUUGUUGAAUCUGACUCAUUGGAAGUUAUUCAAGCAUGCAAUGGCGUGAUUGAGAUUUGGAGCCCCUAUACUGCUAUUUUGGCUGAUUGUUUUCAAAAAGCAUACCGUAUUGGUGUGGUAUCCUUCACUCAUUGCCCUAGGGAGGCUAAUAGAUUGGCGCACAAUCUUGCUAGACAUAGUUUUAAUUUAAAUACUACUCUUGUUUGGGAUGGUGAUCCUUCCAGCUUUUUACUUUCGGACAUUGUGGAUGAUGUAACUUUGAUAUGA
RNAcentral lists this ribosomal RNA (453 nucleotides) under Triticum aestivum (bread wheat). Its description in RNAcentral is "partial small subunit ribosomal RNA". Lineage: Eukaryota; Viridiplantae; Streptophyta; Magnoliopsida; Poales; Poaceae. The record is from RNAcentral.